UGUCGGGAGUUAGGAAAUGCAAGGAUGUUAAUAGCGUUCUUGCUUGACUAAGGCUCCGGAGGAAGCCACGGCUAACUCUGUGCCAGCAGCCGCGGUAAUACAGAGGCGGCAAGCGUUGUUCGGAAUUAUUGGGCGUAAAGAGCACGUAGGCGGCUGUGUAAGUCGGUUGUGAAAGCCUUCCGCUCAACGGAAGAACGGCAUCCGAUACUGCAUGGCUUGAGUGUGGGAGGGGAGAGUGGAACUUCUGGUA
Molecule: ribosomal RNA, 250 nt
Filed under: uncultured bacterium
Lineage: Bacteria
Description: partial 16S ribosomal RNA
Rfam family: Bacterial small subunit ribosomal RNA
Source: RNAcentral